Molecule: ribosomal RNA, 677 nt
Filed under: uncultured bacterium
Lineage: Bacteria
Description: partial 16S ribosomal RNA
Rfam family: Bacterial small subunit ribosomal RNA
Source: RNAcentral
CACCAGUGGNGAAGGCGACUUUCUGGACGAAAACUGACGCUGAGGCGCGAAANCCAGGGGAGCGAACGGGAUUAGAUACCCCGGUAGUCNUGGCCGUAAACGAUGGGUACUAGGUGUAGGAGGUAUCGACCCNUUCUGUGCCGGAGUUAACGCAAUAAGUACCCCGCCUGGGGAGUACGACCGCAAGGUUGAAACUCAAAGGAAUUGACGGGGGCCCGCACAAGCGGUGGAGUAUGUGGUUUAAUUCGACGCAACGCGAAGAACCUUACCAGGUCUUGACAUUGAUGGACAGAACCAGAGAUGGUUCNUCUUCUUCGGAAGCCAGAAAACAGGUGGUGCACGGUUGUCGUCAGCUCGUGUCGUGAGAUGUUGGGUNNNNNNNNNNNNNCGAGCGCAACCCCUAUCUUAUGUUGCCAGCACUUUGGGUGGGGACUCAUGAGAGACUGCCGCAGACAAUGCGGAGGAAGGCGGGGAUGACGUCAAAUCAUCAUGCCCCUUAUGACCUGGGCUACACACGUACUACAAUGGGAGUUAAUAGACGGAAGCGAGAUCGCGAGAUGGAGCAAACCCGAGAAACACUCUCUCAGUUCGGAUCGUAGGCUGCAACUCGCCUACGUGAAGUCGGAAUCGCUAUUAAUCGCAGGUCAGCAUACUGCGGUGAAUACGUUCCCGGGCCU